AAUAAAAAUAAUACAGAAUUUGUCCUCUUGGGCUUCUCUCAGGAUCCUGAUGUGCAAAUGCAUUAUUUGUCAUGUUUUACUCACAUAAUUGGUGACAACAGUGGGGAACCUGCUCAUUGUGGUGACUAUUAUUGCCAGCCCUUCCUUGGGCUCCCCAGUGUAUUUCUGACUUGCCUGUCUGUCAUGUAUAGAUGCUGCAUAUUCCACUACCAUUUCUCCCAAACUGAUUGUAGAGUUACUCAUUGAUAAAAAGACUAUUUCCUUCCGAGCUUGCAUGGGCCAGCUAUUUAUAGAACACUUGUUUGGUGGUACUGAGAUCUUCAUUCUGAUGAUGAUGGCCUGUGAUCACUAUGUGGACAUCUGUAAGCCACUGCACUAUUUGACCAUCAUGAAUUGACAGGUUUGCAUCCUUCUGUUGGUGUUGGCUGUGACAGGAGGUUUUGUACAUUCUAUGUUUCAAACUGUUGUUGUGUACAAUCUCCCUUUCUCUGGCCCCAAUGUCAUUGAC
Molecule: long non-coding RNA, 508 nt
Filed under: Homo sapiens (human)
Lineage: Eukaryota; Metazoa; Chordata; Mammalia; Primates; Hominidae
Description: non-protein coding lnc-OR4A15-1:1
Source: RNAcentral